RNAcentral lists this ribosomal RNA (480 nucleotides) under uncultured soil bacterium. RNAcentral describes it as "bacterial SSU rRNA". It matches the Rfam family "Bacterial small subunit ribosomal RNA", at positions 26 to 500 of the family's 1533-position model. The record is from RNAcentral.
AGAUUGAACGCUGGCGGCAUGCCUUACACAUGCAAGUCGAACGGCAGCACGGGAGCAAUCCUGGUGGCGAGUGGCGAACGGGUGAGUAAUACAUCGGAACGUGCCCAAUCGUGGGGGGAUAACGCAGCGAAAGCUGUGCUAAUACCGCAUAAGAUCUACGGAUGAAAGCAGGGGAUCGCAAGACCUUGCGCGAAUGGAGCGGCCGAUGGCAGAUUAGGUAGUUGGUGAGGUAAAGGCUCACCAAGCCUUCGAUCUGUAGCUGGUCUGAGAGGACGACCAGCCACACUGGGACUGAGACACGGCCCAGACUCCUACGGGAGGCAGCAGUGGGGAAUUUUGGACAAUGGGCGAAAGCCUGAUCCAGCCAUGCCGCGUGCAGGAUGAAGGCCUUCGGUGUAACUGCUUUGUACGGAACGAAAGUCUCUUUCUAAUAAAGAGGAUCAGUGAACGGUACCGUAAGUAACUAAGACACCGGACUAA